RNAcentral lists this ribosomal RNA (303 nucleotides) under uncultured bacterium. RNAcentral describes it as "partial 16S ribosomal RNA". It matches the Rfam family "Bacterial small subunit ribosomal RNA", at positions 507 to 807 of the family's 1533-position model. The record is from RNAcentral.
AGCAGUAGCCGCGGGAAUACGUAGGGUGCAAGCGUUAAUCGGAAUUACUGGGCGUAAAGCGUGCGCAGGCGGUUCUAUAAGACAGAUGUGAAAUCCCCGGGCUUAACCUGGGAACUGCGCUUGUGACUGCACAGCUAGAGUAUGGCAGAGGGGGGUGGAAUUCCACGUGUAGCAGUGAAAUGCGUAGAGAUGUGGAGGAACACCGAUGGCGAAGGCAGCCCCCUGGGCCAAUACUGACGCUCAUGCACGAAAGCGUGGGGAGCAAACAGGAUUAGAUACCCCUGUAGUCCCUGUCUCUUAUAC